AUGACGCCACAGGCGCGCUGAAAUCUUCGCGCCCGUUAUCUUGAUAAUUAAUUCUUUUUUCUAAUAUUCUGCUAUUGAUGGUUGACUUUGAUAAUUUUGAGGUGUACUUUGAACACUUGCGCACAUCGACAUCAUAUUUUUGGCCAGAAUAUCUAACAAUUUAAUUUUUUUGUAACGCUGACGCGUGUAACGUUGUUUUCUAACCCGUCCGUUUGACGUCAACGUCACGGUACUGUUUCAAUGCCUGUCGCAGAGCUAUUGUUUUAAAAAUCCCCGGCACAAUUUAUUUAUUUAUUAUCAUUGAUAUUAUUCUGACCACGGGAAAGACCUUAUCGUUUCCUAAUAAUGGCAACAUUCGAGGGUGCAGCAUUCCAGAAACUAAGUGUUACGUGUUUUCAAUAAUAUAUACCUGCUUGUCAAAGUCUCCUAUGCAUUGUUGUUGUUUCAGAAAUGGGUGUUCUGACUGAAAUUGCAACGGCAGUUGACGAAAUGGAAUGGACACUGCCAACAGACGUGCAAGCCGAAGCGAUACCUUUGUUUCUGGGUGGUGGCGACGUGUUAAUGGCUGCAGAAACUGGUGGUGGAAAGACUGGUGCCUUUUGUUUACCUGUUUUACAAAUAGUAUGGGAAACUCUGAAAGACUUUGAAUCUGGGAAAGCAACUGCUUCGUCGACAUCACACUCGCAACCUUCAAAACAUUGGUCCCUAAGUUUAUUCGAUAGAGGCUCAGCAUUGGCUGUAAUUCUGCACGAUUUGAGAUGUCGAAGCUGAGAAUAAAAAGAAUGGCAUGGUUGUCGGGCCAAUAAAGGAGUUCAGGAGAAUAAGAAGUUCUUUUUCGAAGUUACGGUAACCGACGAAGGUUUAUGCCGUGUUGGCUGGUCUAUGUCUCAGGUUACCUUGGAUUUAGGUGAAGUCUGGCUAUUUCUCAAAGAAUGGGUCUGACUAUUUCUCUGGUCAGCAAAGUUCCUGAGAAAAUAUGGUACCAUGGCGAGUGGUGUCCUACUCGAGGAAGAAAUUGCCAAAACACAUCUCUCACUGAUCAGAGCAGUUGUUGCGUCUGGUACGAUGAACAGAUUUAUUUAGCUGAUAUCGAGGACCAUCUGAAUGUCACGAUCCAGCAAAUCGAUACUGACACAAAGGUUCCCCUAAAUGGUUUUGACGGGAAGGUCAUGUAUGGUCAAAAGAGAGUUAACAUGGGAACGAAUUAGCAGAAUCACGUUCAGCAAAUGGCUCCAUACGUGUCGCAAUUGUCAUUAUUGGAAUCGAAAUCGCAACUGUUGUACUUAAAGAGACACAUGGCUGCUGCAGCGAACUAAUACACACCACCGAUUCAAGGCUGCUGUUUUCCACAUUAAGAUGAAUUUGCUAAUCAGUAAAUUGCCAAUAUAUUAUUCGGCAUAUGAAUAGGCUCGGCGUAUUUAUAAAUAUCGUGUACUUUCAAAUAUGAUAUAUAAGAGGUUCGUUACAAAUGAUAUAAAAUCAUGUUUCUAAGCCUGGUCUAAUCUAGCCUCCCGUUUCACAGAAACAGAAAUCUGUCGAUUGCUGUGAUGCACCGUAAAAUAACAUUCUAGUUUAUGUAUAUAAGACAUACGGCAAGUGUUUAUUGUAUCAUUAUAAUCUUCAUAAUUGUACCAUCGCUAUUUCAGUUACACAAAUGUAUAAUACAGUGGCCUUGCAGUGUUUGGUUUUUUGUAA
This is a non-coding RNA of Megalopta genalis, 1695 nucleotides long. The record is from RefSeq and is a predicted model, not a curated record. NCBI's taxonomy places the organism in Eukaryota, Metazoa, Arthropoda, Insecta, Hymenoptera, Halictidae.